UGAGUAAUACCUUGGUCACCC
This 21-nucleotide non-coding RNA is filed under the name Arabidopsis thaliana (thale cress). Lineage: Eukaryota; Viridiplantae; Streptophyta; Magnoliopsida; Brassicales; Brassicaceae. The record is from RNAcentral.